GGUCGUGUGGUAUAACGGUCAUUACACUUGAUCGAUGGUUUCCCUAGCAAACAAACAAGUUGAGCGCGCUAAAGGUUAGCCUACCUAACGCCUAAGUCGGUUCAAGGUAUCUCGGUUCGAGUACGAGCACGAUCA
Molecule: non-coding RNA, 135 nt
Organism: Apodospora peruviana
Lineage: Eukaryota; Fungi; Ascomycota; Sordariomycetes; Sordariales; Lasiosphaeriaceae
Source: the annotation of a GenBank genome assembly